UAGCUCAGACGGUAAAGCAUCUGCCUACAAUGCUGAAGACCCAGGUUUGAUCCCUGG
RNAcentral lists this transfer RNA (57 nucleotides) under Capra hircus (goat). It matches the Rfam family "tRNA", at positions 8 to 63 of the family's 71-position model. Rfam says of the family: Transfer RNA (tRNA) molecules are approximately 80 nucleotides in length. Lineage: Eukaryota; Metazoa; Chordata; Mammalia; Artiodactyla; Bovidae. RNAcentral also lists the same sequence under 1 other name. The record is from Rfam by way of RNAcentral.